GGAGCAGUGCGGGGGUUUGCUCGGUGACGUCACGGCCGGGGGAGGGGCCGGAACGAUGGCGGCGGCGUCCGCUGAUCCUGUUCAGGCUCAGCAACCAGCUGGUGGUGGCCUUCAAGGAGGACAAGACAGUGGCCUUCAAGCACCUGUUCCUCAAAGGCUACAAGGAUGGCACUAAUGACACCCAGGCCAUCUACACCCAUGGGGACCUCCUGCAGCACUGACCUGUGUCCUCGAGAAGAGAUCCUGGGAGUGCACCCUGGGGACCCCCAGCUGCAGGUGCUGGAUGGCACUAAUGGCAACUUCACCCUCCAAUUCCACAGAUAAAUCCCAACCCCCCCCAAAUUCUUGAUAAUCCCACUUA
Molecule: long non-coding RNA, 361 nt
Organism: Onychostruthus taczanowskii (white-rumped snowfinch)
Lineage: Eukaryota; Metazoa; Chordata; Aves; Passeriformes; Passeridae
Exons: 3
Source: RefSeq, a predicted model, not a curated record